AACGAACGCUGGCGGCAUGCCUAACACAUGCAAGUCGAACGAAACCUCCCGGCCUGCAGGCUCCCGGGUGCGUAAAGGGUUGGAUACUGCCCUUAGGUUCGGCAUAGCACCCCGGAAGAGGUGCUAAUAACGGAUAAUGUCUCCGGACCAAAGAUUUAUUGCCUUUGGUUGUGGCCGCGUUGUUUUAGCUUGUUGUUAGGGUACAAGCCAACCACGUCGUCGAUCCGUAGCUGGUCGGAGAGGCGGAUCAGCGAGACUGGGACUGAGGCAUGGCCCAGACGCCUACGGGAGGCAGCAGUGGGGAAAAUAGGACAAUGGGCGAGAGGCUGAGCCAGCACGGCCGCGUGAGUGAUGAAGGCCUUAGGGUUGUAAAGCGCUUGUACCCGAGAUGAUAAUGACAGUACCGGGAGAAUAAGCUCCGGCUAACUACGUG
Molecule: ribosomal RNA, 433 nt
Filed under: uncultured bacterium
Lineage: Bacteria
Description: partial 16S ribosomal RNA
Rfam family: Bacterial small subunit ribosomal RNA
Source: RNAcentral